GUGAUCGCCGACAUCGAAAAACCAAAGGGAAGAAGAGACCAAACAGGGGUCCCUUCUCCGACAAAAAUCGACGACACCCGUCGCCGGCAGUCGUGCACAGAGGCACGAGAAGAAGGAGAAAGAAGAGUGGAAGAGGAGGAAAACUUACUUCGGCCUCCGGUGACCCCAUCGGCGAGCAAUCGCGGCAAGCACGAAACAAGUAUCUGCGGCUACAAUCGGAGAAAUCAGGGAUGAAGAGAGGGGAAAAGGACCGAUGAAGGGCUUCUAAGGAAGGGGAGAGCCUUUUUAUAGAGAGCCCUAGGACUCCUGGUCAUCCUAGGACUCCCGAUCAUGAUGGUUUCAUCGGAGAA
RNAcentral lists this long non-coding RNA (350 nucleotides) under Elaeis guineensis (African oil palm). RNAcentral's name for it is "long non-coding RNA (EGUI_LNC007207)". The record is from RNAcentral. Lineage: Eukaryota; Viridiplantae; Streptophyta; Magnoliopsida; Arecales; Arecaceae.